Molecule: ribosomal RNA, 406 nt
Filed under: uncultured bacterium
Lineage: Bacteria
Description: partial 16S ribosomal RNA
Rfam family: Bacterial small subunit ribosomal RNA
Source: RNAcentral
AUUGAACGCUGGCGGCAGGCCUAACACAUGCAAGUCGAACGAGUGGCGGACGGGUGAGUAAUUUCUGGGAACCUGCCUGAUGGAGGGGGAUAACUACUGGAAACGGUAGCUAAUACCGCAAACCAUCAGAUGUGCCCAGAUGGGAUUAGCUAGUUGGUGGGGUAACGGCUCACCAAGGCGACGAGCCCUAGCUGGUCUGAGAGGAUGACCCGCCACACUGGAACUGAGACACGGUCCAGACUCCUACGGGAGGCAGCAGUGGGGAAUAUUGGACAAUGGGCGCAAGCCUGAUGCAGCCAUGCCGCGUGUAUGAAGAAGGCCUUCGGGUUGUAAAGUACUUUCAGCGGGGAGGCGGUACCCGCAGAAGAAGCAACGGCUAACUCCGUGCCAGCAGCCGCGGUAAUAC